GGCAGUUCUUGGGUGAUGCACCCUGGAAUCGGAUGCCCUCCUCUCUGGUUCUGGGUGCAUCACUGGAGAAUGCA
Myotis brandtii (Brandt's bat) is the source of this 74-nucleotide non-coding RNA. The record is from Rfam. Lineage: Eukaryota; Metazoa; Chordata; Mammalia; Chiroptera; Vespertilionidae.